This 332-nucleotide long non-coding RNA is filed under the name Phascolarctos cinereus (koala). RNAcentral describes it as "lncRNA (ENSPCIG00000031688.1)". The record is from RNAcentral. Lineage: Eukaryota; Metazoa; Chordata; Mammalia; Diprotodontia; Phascolarctidae.
UGGCAAACUUGCCCCCACGCUGGAUGCCGAAGCCUUCCAACAAAGCAGGGAGCUAGCAGUCAGGUGGGACACCUUGGGAAGCCUUGCGAUCCUUCUGACACUGCAAUCAGGCUUGCCACCACGAGACCGACUCUCCUAGGGCCCUGGUGAAAACCCAUUCCUCUUCCCACCCAAAGAGGCCUCUUUCUGGAUCAUCGCCCGCACAUCAAGUGGCUGCCCCUUCUGUGAGCCUAACAGUGCAGAACCAGCACCCCAGGGACUCGUGACUGCCCUCUGUAAGUUGGGGAUGAGACACCACCCUUCCCUCUCCUUGACCCCUAACUUCUCACUAC